Molecule: transfer RNA, 41 nt
Filed under: Desmodium tortuosum (Florida beggarweed)
Lineage: Eukaryota; Viridiplantae; Streptophyta; Magnoliopsida; Fabales; Fabaceae
Description: partial tRNA-Glu
Source: RNAcentral
AAUAAACCUUAAGAAUAUGUAUGCUGUACACUCUUUUCCCU